Molecule: long non-coding RNA, 576 nt
Organism: Papaver somniferum (opium poppy)
Lineage: Eukaryota; Viridiplantae; Streptophyta; Magnoliopsida; Ranunculales; Papaveraceae
Exons: 2
Source: RefSeq, a predicted model, not a curated record
UCUAUCAGAUCGUCUACCGCUUUCCCAUUUUGAUUUCUUGAACCCUGAAACGAAACCCCAAUUCUGUAACCUCCCGAAUCAAUUCAAUUGAUCUUGCAGCAGCAGCAGCAGCAAAAAUGGGCGUGGCAUCCCGUACCAGAUCCAAAUUGAAGGAAAAAUCAAGAUUAAAGCAAGAAGAAGCAAUAUCUCGGUGGAAAAAUGUUCCUGAAGAAAUAUCUGAUGAGAUAUUUUGGAAAUUACCAGAUGAACAGGUACUGUCGAAGAAGGCUCCAAGGUCUCGUCAUUUAGAAGAAUCACCACAACAAUAUAAUCAUUGCUUUUGAGUACUUUGACAGUAUAAGUUCACAGUUGUAUUUUAGAAUUUCAAGAUACCGCCAAUAUAAUGUACGUUUUCACCGAGAUCUUGUAAAAAUAUUCUUUUUUACUGUGAUUGUUGUUUGCAAUUCUGAUUGCUUUUUUACUCUUUGUUUACCAGUAUCUGGAUUUAUUUAUUUUUAUUUUUGUAUUGUGUGCAAACUUGCCUUGGUUAAAUGUGCGUUCAGUGUGUCAUUAGGCACACGAAUUACUGUUAAGCAA